Molecule: non-coding RNA, 83 nt
Filed under: Trieres chinensis
Lineage: Eukaryota; Bacillariophyta; Thalassiosirophyceae; Eupodiscales; Parodontellaceae
Source: RNAcentral
AAAAGAUGAAGCUGACCGUCGCCCUCGCAGUCAUCGCCGCCGCCGGAAGCGGCGCCUCCGCCUUCUCAGUGGGCGGCGCGGCU